This is a long non-coding RNA of Xiphophorus maculatus (southern platyfish), 945 nucleotides long. RefSeq lists it as uncharacterized. The transcript has 3 exons. NCBI's taxonomy places the organism in Eukaryota, Metazoa, Chordata, Actinopteri, Cyprinodontiformes, Poeciliidae. The record is from RefSeq and is a predicted model, not a curated record.
CACAGUUCCUGUCUGUUACAGGAAAUUCGUUGUGGACAGCAGUUAAUACUUACUCACUUUGCAUUAUUCUCCUUCUCAUUAAUCUCAACUCCUACUGAAAAGGGCUCAUGGUGAUCUAAUGCUUUUAAACAAGGACUACUGAUGUGGUAGCGUCACUUCCUGGCAGCCUUUUCUUCUGACUGAUGUGGGGUCUUUGUUGGGAGCCAAGAGGGUGACGCUGUACCCCACUGCAAGCUGGAAAACACAACUUCAAUGCGCACAGAAGCAGAAGGAUGUUAAGUCCUCUCAGGAUCAAAGCAUGACAAUGAAGAUUUCUUAAGAGUGUUUGCUGUGGGAGUGAGGAACGGUGUCAACGGGUUACGAAGUUACAAACACGGCUCAACCGCAAAGGAAGCACAAUGAAGAGGAACGGCAUGGAGCUUGCUCCUUGAGGAAUGCUGAAAAACACCAAGAAGAUGAGUGCAAACCACAUAUUUAGACUCUGUGGAGUGAACCCUACAAGGGAAAAUGGGAUAUUGUGUCCAGCAUGAUUUCUUGGCUCAGUCACCAGUCGUCCUAUGAAGAGCGGGCAGUGAACUCCCAGUUUUCGCUCAGCAUUCUAGCUCUUCAGUGACCAUCAACCCCGGGAAUAGCAGCUAUGUGAGCAUGACUCUACAUCACUAUUUCUGGGCGUUCUGCUACUUGACAUUGAGAGGCCCGGAUUAGGCGGCUUCACUACUGUAAAAUGUGUGUGUGCCUUGUAAGUACACAUAUAGUGCUGUGCAAAAGGCAGUUGUCGCAGUGCAGCUUUACAAAACAAAAACCUCAGUGUCUUUCUUUUUUAUUUCAUGUGAUAAAGCAGAAUUCCCACAUUUACUUUGCAGCAAUUUGUUUAUCUUGUUUGCGUUUUCCUUGUCUUGGAAAGUGUUUUUGAGUGUUCUAAAAAGCACUUUAUAAGUAUAAUUU